This 1185-nucleotide ribosomal RNA is filed under the name uncultured Bifidobacterium sp. RNAcentral describes it as "bacterial SSU rRNA". It matches the Rfam family "Bacterial small subunit ribosomal RNA", at positions 173 to 1357 of the family's 1533-position model. Lineage: Bacteria; Bacillati; Actinomycetota; Actinomycetes; Bifidobacteriales; Bifidobacteriaceae. The record is from RNAcentral.
UGUUCCACAUGAGCGCAUGCGAGUGUGGGAAAUGCUUUUUGCGGCAUGGGAUGGGGUCGCGUCCUAUCAGCUUGUUGGCGGGGUGAUGGCCCACCAAGGCGUUGACGGGUAGCCGGCCUGAGAGGGUGACCGGCCACAUUGGGACUGAAAUACGGCCCAAACUCCUACGGGAGGCAGCAGUGGGGAAUAUUGCACAAUGGGCGCAAGCCUGAUGCAGCGACGCCGCGUGCGGGAUGGAGGCCUUCGGGUUGUAAACCGCUUUUGUUCAAGGGCAAGGCACGGCUUCGGGCCGUGUUGAGUGGAUUGUUCGAAUAAGCACCGGCUAACUACGUGCCAGCAGCCGCGGUAAUACGUAGGGUGCGAGCGUUAUCCGGAUUUAUUGGGCGUAAAGGGCUCGUAGGCGGUUCGUCGCGUCCGGUGUGAAAGUCCAUCGCCUAACGGUGGAUCUGCGCCGGGUACGGGCGGGCUGGAGUGCGGUAGGGGAGACUGGAAUUCCCGGUGUAACGGUGGAAUGUGUAGAUAUCGGGAAGAACACCAAUGGCGAAGGCAGGUCUCUGGGCCGUUACUGACGCUGAGGAGCGAAAGCGUGGGGAGCGAACAGGAUUAGAUACCCUGGUAGUCCACGCCGUAAACGGUGGAUGCUGGAUGUGGGGCCCUUUCCACGGGUCCUGUGUCGGAGCCAACGCGUUAAGCAUCCCGCCUGGGGAGUACGGCCGCAAGGCUAAAACUCAAAGAAAUUGACGGGGGUCCGCACAAGCGGCGGAGCAUGCGGAUUAAUUCGAUGCAACGCGAAGAACCUUACCUGGGCUUGACAUGUUCCCGACAGCCCCAGAGAUGGGGCCUCCCUUCGGGGCGGGUUCACAGGUGGUGCAUGGUCGUCGUCAGCUCGUGUCGUGAGAUGUUGGGUUAAGUCCCGCAACGAGCGCAACCCUCGCCCCGUGUUGCCAGCACAUGAUGGUGGGAACUCACGGGGGACCGCCGGGGUUAACUCGGAGGAAGGUGGGGAUGACGUCAGAUCAUCAUGCCCCUUACGUCCAGGGCUUCACGCAUGCUACAAUGGCCGGUACAACGGGAUGCGACAUGGCGACAUGGAGCGGAUCCCUGAAAACCGGUCUCAGUUCGGAUUGGAGUCUGCAACCCGACUCCAUGAAGGCGGAGUCGCUAGUAAUCGCGAAUCAGCAACGU